RNAcentral lists this ribosomal RNA (469 nucleotides) under uncultured bacterium. Its description in RNAcentral is "partial 16S ribosomal RNA". It matches the Rfam family "Bacterial small subunit ribosomal RNA", at positions 28 to 507 of the family's 1533-position model. The record is from RNAcentral.
GACGAACGCUGGCGGCGUGCUUAACACAUGCAAGUCGAACGGUGAAGCGAGUGCUUGCACUCGUGGAUCAGUGGCGAACGGGUGAGUAACACGUGAGUAACCUGCCCAUCACUCUGGGAUAAGCACUGGAAACGGUGUCUAAUACUGGAUACGACCAACCCUUGCAUUGGGUGUUGGUGGAAAGAUUUAUCGGUGAUGGAUGGACUCGCGGCCUAUCAGCUUGUUGGCGGGGUAAUGGCCCACCAAGGCGACGACGGGUAGCCGGCCUGAGAGGGUGACCGGACACACUGGGACUGAGACACGGCCCAGACUCCUACGGGAGGCAGCAGUGGGGAAUAUUGCACAAUGGGCGAAAGCCUGAUGCAGCGACGCCGCGUGAGGGAUGACGGCCUUCGGGUUGUAAACCUCUUUCAGCAGGGAAGAAGCGAAAGUGACGGUACCUGCAGAAGAAGCACCGGCUAACUACGUG